AAAGGGCGUUUGGUGAAUGCCUUGGCAGUAAGAGGCGAUGAAAGACGUGAUACUCUGCGAUAAGUCAUGGGGAGCUGAGAAUAGGCUUUGAUCCAUGAAUUUCUGAAUGGGGCAACCCACCUGAUACUGUGUUAUUACUACCCUUCGGGGUGGCUAAUAAUACGGUAAACCAGGUAUUUCUAGACUGAAUACAUAGGUUUAGAAAAGCAAACCCGGGGAACUGAAACAUCUAAGUACCCGGAGGAGGAGAAAACAAAAGUGAUUCCGAUAGUAGCGGCGAGCGAAAUCGGAUUAGUCCAAACCGUUG
RNAcentral lists this ribosomal RNA (307 nucleotides) under Thalassiosira antarctica. RNAcentral's name for it is "partial Bacterial large subunit ribosomal RNA". It matches the Rfam family "Bacterial large subunit ribosomal RNA", at positions 12 to 279 of the family's 2925-position model. Lineage: Eukaryota; Bacillariophyta; Thalassiosirophyceae; Thalassiosirales; Thalassiosiraceae. The record is from RNAcentral.